GGAGGAGGAGGAGGAGGAGGAGGAGGAGGAGGAGGAUGGUGGUGACGACGUAACAUACGUGCUGUUCCCUACACCGCCAACUCGAAUAAUUCACAUUGUACGUCGGGAAUGAAGUCGACCGAGCACCAUCUCUCCUCUUUUGAAAGCUCUUAUUCCGUUUUGUUCUACAUGGCCACGUAAUAAAUGAUACCGAGGAAAGUGAUUUAUUCGAAUGUUGGUGCGUUAUCAGUUGAUCUCUAUUUCUCAGAGGAUAUUUAACACACAGGAGUAAGAAAUUACAUACUUAGAUGAUUAUCGUGCAACGAACUUUUUGUCUGGCUUAAAUUUUGAAGUGUAGGAGAACGUAUUCGUACGAUUACACAUAAAGAAAGAUAGAAAUGAUCGAUGAUCUGGUUAUAGCGAGAGGUAUUUUGAUAAUACAAAUGUAAAAUCGAUAAGCGUAUACGAGCAACUACCGAUUAAUAUAACUACUAUUAGAAAACUUUUAAGCCUAUACUCAUGUAUCCUUUCAGGAUUAUAGUAAUGAAAUAAAUAAAGAAAAAGAAAGAAAGAAAAAGAGAGAGAGAGAGAGAGAGAGACGGAGAGAUUAGAGAAUUUUCUAGAGAUUAAUCAUACGUCUGAAUCGGAAAGGAAACGUAUCACCGAACAGAGAGAAAAUCUAGAAACGAAGAAAAGAUAUAAGUAAGUACUUACGUACAUACAUGCAUACAUACGUACAAACAUACACACGUAUUCUCAUAAGAAGGCAAACGAGUCCGUAAUGAGUGCAGAUAAAAUCGGUGAUAGGGUUCAUGGAGCGACGGCCACCGAAAAAUUCGAAUACGAGCCGUUAUCAGCUGGGCAUCCUCUUCCCUCGCGUCUAUUUUCAAGAAAGCGAUUUAUCCUAGCGGCGUCUGAAGUCGCCGGUUACACCGGUGCUCGUGGAAAUUUCUAUCGAAGCCGAUGUAUCUGCCGGAUAACGGCAGAUUAAUGACUCGCGGAUUGCUCGCGUUCGAAGGAGCCAACGGCAGCUACUAGUUCGAGAUUCGAAGGUGUUUCGAUCCGAGCUUAAGAUAGAAACUCUAUUGAUUUAGACCAAUUCGAAGUACUAUUUCCGCUUUUUCCCGAUCAAUCUUUAUUGCUAGAUUAAAAAUAUAAUAGAGAAAAAGUAUGAAUAGGAUUUUCUAAGGAUUCAGGUCGUCAUCCUCCGUUGGAUCUGUCGGAUCUUUUUUGCUUUUCCAGUACGG
Molecule: long non-coding RNA, 1226 nt
Organism: Vespula pensylvanica (western yellowjacket)
Lineage: Eukaryota; Metazoa; Arthropoda; Insecta; Hymenoptera; Vespidae
Exons: 3
Source: RefSeq, a predicted model, not a curated record